This 424-nucleotide ribosomal RNA is filed under the name uncultured bacterium. Its description in RNAcentral is "bacterial SSU rRNA". It matches the Rfam family "Bacterial small subunit ribosomal RNA", at positions 356 to 773 of the family's 1533-position model. The record is from RNAcentral.
GGGGAAUAUUGGACAAUGGGCGCAAGCCUGAUCCAGCAAUGCCGCGUGUGUGAAGAAGGCCUGCGGGUUGUAAAGCACUUUUGUUCGGGAAGAAAUCAUGCCGACUAAUACUUGGUAUGGAUGACGGUACCGGAAGAAUAAGCACCGGCUAACUUCGUGCCAGCAGCCGCGGUAAUACGAAGGGUGCAAGCGUUAAUCGGAAUUACUGGGCGUAAAGGGUGCGUAGGCGGCUUUUAAGUCGGAUGUGAAAUCCCCGGGCUUAACCUGGGAAUGGCAUACGAUACUGGGGAGCUAGAGUGUGGGAGAGGGUGGUGGAAUUCCCGGUGUAGCGGUGAAAUGCGUAGAGAUCGGGAGGAACAUCAGUGGCGAAGGCGGCCACCUGGCCUAAAACUGACGCUGAGGCACGAAAGCGUGGGGAGCAAAC